UACGUAGGGUGCGAGCGUUGUCCGGAAUUAUUGGGCGUAAAGGGCUCGUAGGCGGUUUGUCGCGUCGGGAGUGAAAACACUGGGCUUAACUCAGUGCUUGCUUCCGAUACGGGCAGACUAGAGGUAUUCAGGGGAGAACGGAAUUCCUGGUGUAGCGGUGAAAUUCGUAGAUAUCGGGAGGAACACCGGUGGCGAAGGCGGCGACCUGGGUAGAUACUGACGCUGAGGUGCGAAAGCGUGGGGAGCAAACAGG
RNAcentral lists this ribosomal RNA (253 nucleotides) under uncultured bacterium. Its description in RNAcentral is "partial 16S ribosomal RNA". It matches the Rfam family "Bacterial small subunit ribosomal RNA", at positions 524 to 776 of the family's 1533-position model. The record is from RNAcentral.